GCUUUACAGUAGGCUACGUCCCGUUCGUCAGUGUCAAUUACUGCCCAGACACGCCCAACGUGACGACAGAGCUGCUACAGGAAGCACCUCGCGCUCUCGCGAGCUCUGUAUGGUUGGUAUACUGUAAGAUGGCGGAAGAGAAUUAGGGCGCAAAUGUGGGCUUGAAGAUUGAGUGCAGACAGCUGUGACGGAGGGAACUUGGCUGAGGAUUCGUAAAAUGUUCAUUGUGAAAUCCCUUUGUAUGGAAAAAUAUCCUGUUUUAUUUUUGCAACUUUGUCUAGUCAAUGCUCAUUCUGUUUUCCACAAUUCUGUGGCAUAAUCAACUUAAAUGGAUGCAUCCAAUAACUUAGGCUAACUGCCAGUGACUUGGCUGCUUUUGGGUUUGCAUUCAUGCCAUCAGUGUAAUACCAUUGUCUUAGUGUAGAGGCCUUCUGUUUUUAGUCAGUGUUUGUAUUCAUUAGCUGCUGUGCUAAGCUAAUAAAUGUUUGAUGAUUUUUCAAUGUAGUGAUUUUUCAAUGUAGUGCUUAAAAUGGAGGUUAGAUGCAAUAAAAUGAUGCAACAGUGCCUUUAA
This is a long non-coding RNA of Anguilla anguilla (European eel), 571 nucleotides long. RefSeq lists it as uncharacterized. NCBI's taxonomy places the organism in Eukaryota, Metazoa, Chordata, Actinopteri, Anguilliformes, Anguillidae. The record is from RefSeq and is a predicted model, not a curated record. The transcript is spliced from 2 exons.